GUGGGGAAUUUUGGACAAUGGGCGCAAGCCUGAUCCAGCAAUGCCGCGUGUGUGAAGAAGGCCUUCGGGUUGUAAAGCACUUUUGGCAGGAAAGAAAUAGUGCGUGCUAAUACCAUGCGCGAAUGACGGUACCUGCAGAAUAAGCACCGGCUAACUACGUGCCAGCAGCCGCGGUAAGACGUAGGGUGCAAGCGUUAAUCGGAAUUACUGGGCGUAAAGCGUGCGCAGGCGGUUUUGUAAGACAGGUGUGAAAUCCCCGGGCUCAACCUGGGAACUGCACUUGUGACUGCAAGGCUAGAGUGUGUCAGAGGGAGGUGGAAUUCCGCGUGUAGCAGUGAAAUGCGUAGAGAUGCGGAGGAACACCGAUGGCGAAGGCAGCCUCCUGGGAUAACACUGACGCUCAGGCACGAAAGCGUGGGGAGCAAACAGGAUUAGAAACCCUAGUAGUCC
This 450-nucleotide ribosomal RNA is filed under the name uncultured bacterium. RNAcentral's name for it is "bacterial SSU rRNA". It matches the Rfam family "Bacterial small subunit ribosomal RNA", at positions 354 to 796 of the family's 1533-position model. The record is from RNAcentral.